CCUACGGGUGGCUGCAGUGAGGAAUAUUGGUCAAUGGUCGGGAGACUGAACCAGCCAAGCCGCGUGAGGGAUGAAGGUACAGAGUAUCGUAAACCUCUUUUGCCAGGGAACAAAGGCGGGGACGCGUCCCCGGAUGAGUGUACCUGAAGAAAAAGCAUCGGCAAACUCCGUGCCAGCAGCCGCGGUAAUACGGAGGAUGCGAGCGUUAUCCGGUUUUAUUGGGUUAAAAGGGUGCGCAGGGGGGCUGUUAAGUCAGCGGUCAAAGCACGGGGCUCUACCCCGGCCCGCCGUUGAAACUGGCAGUCUUGAGUUGGAGAGAGGUAUGCGGAAUGCGCGGUGUAGCGGUGAAAUGCAUAGAUAUCGCGCAGAACUCCGAUUGCGAAGGCAGCAUGCCGGCUCCACACUGACGCUGAGGCACGAAAGCGUGGGUAUCGAACAGGAUUAGAUACCCGGGUAGUC
RNAcentral lists this ribosomal RNA (459 nucleotides) under uncultured bacterium. RNAcentral describes it as "partial 16S ribosomal RNA". It matches the Rfam family "Bacterial small subunit ribosomal RNA", at positions 338 to 795 of the family's 1533-position model. The record is from RNAcentral.